UACGAAGGGUGCAAGCGUUACUCGGAAUUACUGGGCGUAAAGCGUGCGUAGGUGGUUCGUUAAGUCUGAUGUGAAAGCCCUGGGCUCAACCUGGGAAUGGCAUUGGAAACUGGCGACCUAGAGUGCGGUAGAGGGUAGUGGAAUUCCCGGUGUAGCAGUGAAAUGCGUAGAGAUCGGGAGGAACAUCCGUGGCGAAGGCGACUACCUGGACCAGCACUGACACUGAGGCACGGAAGCGUGGGGAGCAAACAGG
RNAcentral lists this ribosomal RNA (253 nucleotides) under uncultured bacterium. RNAcentral describes it as "partial 16S ribosomal RNA". It matches the Rfam family "Bacterial small subunit ribosomal RNA", at positions 524 to 776 of the family's 1533-position model. The record is from RNAcentral.